UUCAAUAUGAACAUAUAUUAUGUGCUUUGACACUCUGCUACACUUUUGAUUUGUCUGUGUAUGUUCUGUAUUAGGGGAAACAUUAUUUCUAUACAUUGAUGCUUUUUCAGAAGUUUGUAAAUGUUUGAUUACAUUACUUAAAGGACCACUAGAGUGUCCCACUGCCUCCGGACGUUCAAUGUCGUUUUACAGAUUUAAACUCUGUGAGAAUGCAGGAAGUGCCUGUAGUGGCUGUCUAAACCUUGCGAUGUAAACACUGGGGAUCUGCAUGUCCUGGGUCCAUUUAGUGUCACUUUAAAGACUUGUUUAAGGCACAUUGACCACUUCAAUAUGAAACACAGCAAACCAAAAAGUGAACACAUUUUUGUUCUGAACAUAUCGGAACGAGAGUCACAGGCUUGCUUGUGUUCUCUUGGACUCUGCAGUAGCUGGAUGUCUUUCCCGACAUUCUAGAGGUUUGGAGUCAAGUAAAAGGACAACUGUUGCAGAACAGCAUUUUGUCAUGCUUCUGAUGCUCUGAGUAACAUUUUUAACUUGGUGCUCUUAUCUUUUGGCAUAGAGAACACUCAACAUAUGUUGAUUCCAUCGAUUGUAGUGGCUGUUAUGGUGAAAGAAGCAAGUUUGUACUACCCAUUUAAAAUAUUUAAUACAAAACACUUUGCCCUGCAUUUUGUAGUUGAGUAGGAUUUUUUUUCCCCAAGUAAUUUUUGAAGUAGGAUUUUUAAAGAAUAGAGCAUACAGAAUGGAACUUGGUCUUUGAUAAAUUAAAGGAUGGAAAAGGUUAUUCAGCACUUACAGUUGGUCUAUAUAAGCAUGCUGUCAUAUGUAUUAAAG
Molecule: non-coding RNA, 834 nt
Organism: Pelobates cultripes (western spadefoot toad)
Lineage: Eukaryota; Metazoa; Chordata; Amphibia; Anura; Pelobatidae
Source: the annotation of a GenBank genome assembly